Molecule: long non-coding RNA, 701 nt
Organism: Vombatus ursinus (common wombat)
Lineage: Eukaryota; Metazoa; Chordata; Mammalia; Diprotodontia; Vombatidae
Exons: 3
Source: RefSeq, a predicted model, not a curated record
UGCGAGCUGUUUAUUUAUGGCUGGAAAUGUGUGUGUGAAAGAAAGAAUUGAUCUUUCCCCGGAUUUAAAGAUGGAGCAAAGGGCGCUGGAGGGAAUUUUUGUUUGCUUAUUUUGCUUAGACCCAGCUCACAAAUUGGGCGUGAUGGGGGGAGGGAGAUGCCUGUUCCUCCCUCCACCCUUCACCUCACGACCUUCCUGGACCUCGAACCCCUCAGCAGCCUGGGCGGACCCGGACCCCGGAGGACUUGUCCAGCGGUCUGUUGGCUCGCCUGCUCCGAAGUGGGCUGCAGAAGAGGGCUUCACAGAGGGGGCCACCCCUGCCCCUUCUCUUUAUAUGAGUCCAAUAAAAGGGGGCAAUCCUAGGAUGCGAACCUGAUCGGAUGUCAAAGAGGCAACUUGCCAUGAAAUCCGCUAACGCACCGCGACUCACCGGGGAAUUGGUGGUGACGUAUUCAUUACAUUCAGACAUGUGGAUAUGCAUAAAGAUUGGCACUUCUACGUGAGUUGGCUUGCCCUCUUGGGCUUUAAAGAUUCGACCACUUUGGAGAAGACCUGCCCACUUGAAUUGGGUCUAUUUGGUUUCACUGGCCUAGGUUAGUUUAGGGAACCUGAUUUCAGUCCCUAGCAAAGGUAGGGAGAACAGAAAUGACCUAUAACUCUUGACCAACAAUAAUACAACAAUCAAGUCUACAUCAGCAAAG